RNAcentral lists this ribosomal RNA (253 nucleotides) under uncultured bacterium. Its description in RNAcentral is "partial 16S ribosomal RNA". It matches the Rfam family "Bacterial small subunit ribosomal RNA", at positions 524 to 776 of the family's 1533-position model. The record is from RNAcentral.
UACGUAGGAGGCAAGCGUUAUCCGGAUUUAUUGGGCGUAAAGGGCUUGUAGGUGGCCAGUAAAGUCUCUUGUGAAAUCUCCCGGCUCAACCGGGAGGGGUCAAGAGAUACUCACUGGCUUGAGGGAAGCAGAGGAGAAUGGAAUUCCCGGUGUAGUGGUGAAAUGCGUAGAUAUCGGGAGGAACACCAGUGGCGAAAGCGAUUCUCUGGGCUUAACCUGACACUGAGGAGCGAAAGCGUGGGGAGCAAACCGG